RNAcentral lists this ribosomal RNA (2923 nucleotides) under Klebsiella pneumoniae. Its description in RNAcentral is "bacterial LSU rRNA". It matches the Rfam family "Bacterial large subunit ribosomal RNA". RNAcentral also lists the same sequence under 1 other name. Lineage: Bacteria; Pseudomonadati; Pseudomonadota; Gammaproteobacteria; Enterobacterales; Enterobacteriaceae. The record is from RNAcentral.
GGGUUGUGAGGUUAAGCGACUAAGCGUACACGGUGGAUGCCCUGGCAGUCAGAGGCGAUGAAGGACGUGCUAAUCUGCGAAAAGCGUCGGUAAGGUGAUAUGAACCGUUAUAACCGGCGAUGUCCGAAUGGGGAAACCCAGUGCAAUUCGUUGCACUAUCGUUAACUGAAUACAUAGGUUAACGAGGCGAACCGGGGGAACUGAAACAUCUAAGUACCCCGAGGAAAAGAAAUCAACCGAGAUUCCCCCAGUAGCGGCGAGCGAACGGGGAGCAGCCCAGAGUCUGAAUCAGCUUGUGUGUUAGUGGAACGGUCUGGAAAGUCCGACGGUACAGGGUGAUAGUCCCGUACACCAAAAUGCACAGGCUGUGAACUCGAAGAGUAGGGCGGGACACGUGGUAUCCUGUCUGAAUAUGGGGGGACCAUCCUCCAAGGCUAAAUACUCCUGACUGACCGAUAGUGAACCAGUACCGUGAGGGAAAGGCGAAAAGAACCCCGGCGAGGGGAGUGAAAAAGAACCUGAAACCGUGUACGUACAAGCAGUGGGAGCACCUUCGGGUGUGACUGCGUACCUUUUGUAUAAUGGGUCAGCGACUUAUAUUCUGUAGCAAGGUUAACCGUAUAGGGGAGCCGCAGGGAAACCGAGUCUUAACUGGGCGUUAAGUUGCAGGGUAUAGACCCGAAACCCGGUGAUCUAGCCAUGGGCAGGUUGAAGGUUGGGUAACACUAACUGGAGGACCGAACCGACUAAUGUUGAAAAAUUAGCGGAUGACUUGUGGCUGGGGGUGAAAGGCCAAUCAAACCGGGAGAUAGCUGGUUCUCCCCGAAAGCUAUUUAGGUAGCGCCUCGUGAACUCAUCUUCGGGGGUAGAGCACUGUUUCGGCUAGGGGGUCAUCCCGACUUACCAACCCGAUGCAAACUACGAAUACCGAAGAAUGUUAUCACGGGAGACACACGGCGGGUGCUAACGUCCGUCGUGAAGAGGGAAACAACCCAGACCGCCAGCUAAGGUCCCAAAGUCAUGGUUAAGUGGGAAACGAUGUGGGAAGGCACAGACAGCCAGGAUGUUGGCUUAGAAGCAGCCAUCAUUUAAAGAAAGCGUAAUAGCUCACUGGUCGAGUCGGCCUGCGCGGAAGAUGUAACGGGGCUAAACCAUGCACCGAAGCUGCGGCAGCGACACUAUGUGUUGUUGGGUAGGGGAGCGUUCUGUAAGCCUGCGAAGGUGACCUGUGAGGGUUGCUGGAGGUAUCAGAAGUGCGAAUGCUGACAUAAGUAACGAUAAAGCGGGUGAAAAGCCCGCUCGCCGGAAGACCAAGGGUUCCUGUCCAACGUUAAUCGGGGCAGGGUGAGUCGACCCCUAAGGCGAGGCCGAAAGGCGUAGUCGAUGGGAAACAGGUUAAUAUUCCUGUACUUGGUGUUACUGCGAAGGGGGGACGGAGAAGGCUAUGUUAGCCGGGCGACGGUUGUCCCGGUUUAAGCAUGUAGGCUGGUUGUCCAGGCAAAUCCGGAUAAUCAAGGCUGAGGUGUGAUGACGAGGCACUACGGUGCUGAAGUAACAAAUGCCCUGCUUCCAGGAAAAGCCUCUAAGCAUCAGGUAACAUCAAAUCGUACCCCAAACCGACACAGGUGGUCAGGUAGAGAAUACCAAGGCGCUUGAGAGAACUCGGGUGAAGGAACUAGGCAAAAUGGUGCCGUAACUUCGGGAGAAGGCACGCUGGUGUGUAGGUGAAGUCCCUGCGGAUGGAGCUGAGACCAGUCGAAGAUACCAGCUGGCUGCAACUGUUUAUUAAAAACACAGCACUGUGCAAACACGAAAGUGGACGUAUACGGUGUGACGCCUGCCCGGUGCCGGAAGGUUAAUUGAUGGGGUUAUCCGUAAGGAGAAGCUCUUGAUCGAAGCCCCGGUAAACGGCGGCCGUAACUAUAACGGUCCUAAGGUAGCGAAAUUCCUUGUCGGGUAAGUUCCGACCUGCACGAAUGGCGUAAUGAUGGCCAGGCUGUCUCCACCCGAGACUCAGUGAAAUUGAACUCGCUGUGAAGAUGCAGUGUACCCGCGGCAAGACGGAAAGACCCCGUGAACCUUUACUAUAGCUUGACACUGAACAUUGAGCCUUGAUGUGUAGGAUAGGUGGGAGGCUUUGAAGCGUGGACGCCAGUCUGCGUGGAGCCAACCUUGAAAUACCACCCUUUAAUGUUUGAUGUUCUAACGUUGGCCCCUUACCGGGGUUGCGGACAGUGUCUGGUGGGUAGUUUGACUGGGGCGGUCUCCUCCCAAAGCGUAACGGAGGAGCACGAAGGUUAGCUAAUCCUGGUCGGACAUCAGGAGGUUAGUGCAAUGGCAUAAGCUAGCUUGACUGCGAGCGUGACGGCGCGAGCAGGUGCGAAAGCAGGUCAUAGUGAUCCGGUGGUUCUGAAUGGAAGGGCCAUCGCUCAACGGAUAAAAGGUACUCCGGGGAUAACAGGCUGAUACCGCCCAAGAGUUCAUAUCGACGGCGGUGUUUGGCACCUCGAUGUCGGCUCAUCACAUCCUGGGGCUGAAGUAGGUCCCAAGGGUAUGGCUGUUCGCCAUUUAAAGUGGUACGCGAGCUGGGUUUAGAACGUCGUGAGACAGUUCGGUCCCUAUCUGCCGUGGGCGCUGGAGAAUUGAGGGGGGCUGCUCCUAGUACGAGAGGACCGGAGUGGACGCAUCACUGGUGUUCGGGUUGUCAUGCCAAUGGCACUGCCCGGUAGCUAAAUGCGGAAGAGAUAAGUGCUGAAAGCAUCUAAGCACGAAACUUGCCCCGAGAUGAGUUCUCCCUGAGACUUUAAGUCUCCUGAAGGAACGUUGAAGACGACGACGUUGAUAGGCCGGGUGUGUAAGCGCAGCGAUGCGUUGAGCUAACCGGUACUAAUGAACCGUGAGGCUUAACCUUACAACGCCGAAG